GAAACGACUGCUAAUACCGCAUAAGCGCACAGCUUCGCAUGAAGCAGUGUGAAAAACUCCGGUGGUACAAGAUGGACCCGCGUCUGAUUAGCUGGUUGGUGAGGUAACGGCCCACCAAGGCGACGAUCAGUAGCCGGCCUGAGAGGGUGAACGGCCACAUUGGGACUGAGACACGGCCCAAACUCCUACGGGAGGCAGCAGUGGGGAAUAUUGCACAAUGGGGGAAACCCUGAUGCAGCAACGCCGCGUGAGUGAAGAAGUAUUUCGGUAUGUAAAGCUCUAUCAGCAGGAAAGAAAAUGACGGUACCUGACUAAGAAGCCCCGGCUAACUACGUGCCAGCAGCCGCGGUAAUACGUAGGGGGCAAGCGUUAUCCGGAUUUACUGGGUGUAAAGGGAGCGUAGACGGUUUUGCAAGUCUGAAGUGAAAGCCCGGGGCUUAACCCCGGGACUGCUUUGGAAACUGUAGGACUAGAGUGCAGGAGAGGUAAGUGGAAUUCCUAGUGUAGCGGUGAAAUGCGUAGAUAUUAGGAGGAACACCAGUGGCGAAGGCGGCUUACUGGACUGUAACUGACGUUGAGGCUCGAAAGCGUGGGGAGCAAACAGGAUUAGAUACCCUGGUAGUCCACGCCGUAAACGAUGAUUACUAGGUGUUGGUGGGUAUGACCCAUCGGUGCC
This 676-nucleotide ribosomal RNA is filed under the name uncultured bacterium. RNAcentral describes it as "bacterial SSU rRNA". It matches the Rfam family "Bacterial small subunit ribosomal RNA", at positions 153 to 847 of the family's 1533-position model. The record is from RNAcentral.